AACAUCGCGCACCUGCGGGAACCUGCGGAAGGAUCAUUACAGAGUUGCAAAACUCCCUAAACCAUUGUGAACGUUACCUAAACCGUUGCUUCGGCGGGCGGCCCGGGUCCUUCCCGGCGCCCAUCGGCCCUCGCGGGCGCCCGCCGGAGGUAAACCAAACUAUUGCAUUGUAUGGCCUCUCUGAGUCUUCUGUACUGAAUAAGUCAAAACUUUCAACAAUGGAUCUCAGAUCGGAAGAGC
RNAcentral lists this unclassified non-coding RNA (240 nucleotides) under soil metagenome. Its description in RNAcentral is "partial contains 5.8S ribosomal RNA, internal transcribed spacer 2, and large subunit ribosomal RNA". The record is from RNAcentral.